UCUGACCAGCCAUGCCGCGUGCAGGAUGACGGUCCUAUGGAUUGUAAACUGCUUUUGUACGAGAAGAAACAACAUUACGUGUAAUGUCUUGACGGUAUCGUAAGAAUAAGGAUCGGCUAACUCCGUGCCAGCAGCCGCGGUAAUACGGAGGAUCCAAGCGUUAUCCGGAAUCAUUGGGUUUAAAGGGUCCGUAGGCGGUUUAGUAAGUCAGUGGUGAAAGCCCAUCGCUCAACGGUGGAACGGCCAUUGAUACUGCUGAACUUGAAUUAUUAGGAAGUAACUAGAAUAUGUAGUGUAGCGGUGAAAUGCUUAGAGAUUACAUGGAAUACCAAUUGCGAAGGCAGGUUACUACUAAUGGAUUGACGCUGAUGGACGAAAGCGUGGGUAGCGAACAGGAUUAGAUACCCUGGUAGUCCACGCCGUAAACGAUGGAUACUAGCUGUUGGGGGCAACUUCAGUGGCUAAGCGAAAGUGAUAAGUAUCCCACCUGGGGAGUACGUUCGCAAGAAUGAAACUCAAAGGAAUUGACGGGGGCCCGCACAAGCGGUGGAGCAUGUGGUUUAAUUCGAUGAUACGCGAGGAACCUUACCAAGGCUUAAAUGUAGAUUGACCGAUUUGGAAACAGAUCUUUCGC
Molecule: ribosomal RNA, 634 nt
Filed under: Flavobacterium sp. So3Ps_862
Lineage: Bacteria; Pseudomonadati; Bacteroidota; Flavobacteriia; Flavobacteriales; Flavobacteriaceae
Description: bacterial SSU rRNA
Rfam family: Bacterial small subunit ribosomal RNA
Source: RNAcentral